This 522-nucleotide ribosomal RNA is filed under the name uncultured Pseudomonas sp. RNAcentral's name for it is "bacterial SSU rRNA". It matches the Rfam family "Bacterial small subunit ribosomal RNA", at positions 9 to 526 of the family's 1533-position model. The record is from RNAcentral. Lineage: Bacteria; Pseudomonadati; Pseudomonadota; Gammaproteobacteria; Pseudomonadales; Pseudomonadaceae.
GAGUUUGAUCCUGGUUCAGAUUGAACGCUGGCGGCAGGCCUAACACAUGCAAGUCGAGCGGAUGAGAAGAGCUUGCUCUUCGAUUCAGCGGCGGACGGGUGAGUAAUGCCUAGGAAUCUGCCUGGUAGUGGGGGACAACGUUUCGAAAGGAACGCUAAUACCGCAUACGUCCUACGGGAGAAAGCAGGGGACCUUCGGGCCUUGCGCUAUCAGAUGAGCCUAGGUCGGAUUAGCUAGUUGGUGAGGUAAUGGCUCACCAAGGCGACGAUCCGUAACUGGUCUGAGAGGAUGAUCAGUCACGCUGGAACUGAGACACGGUCCAGACUCCUACGGGAGGCAGCAGUGGGGAAUAUUGGACAAUGGGCGAAAGCCUGAUCCAGCCAUGCCGCGUGUGUGAAGAAGGUCUUCGGAUUGUAAAGCACUUUAAGUUGGGAGGAAGGGCAUUAACCUGAUACGUUAGUGUUUUGACGUUACCGACAGAAUUAGCACCGGCUAACUCUGUGCCAGCAGCCGCGGUAAUAC